Molecule: ribosomal RNA, 361 nt
Filed under: uncultured eukaryote
Lineage: Eukaryota
Description: partial 18S ribosomal RNA
Rfam family: Eukaryotic small subunit ribosomal RNA
Source: RNAcentral
CAAUAGCAUAUAUUAACGUUGUUGCAGUUGAAAAGCUCGUAGUUGAACUUUUGGUAGGAGCGACCUGGCCUUGGGCGCAUGCCCUUGUUUUGCCGUGUGUCGUAUCUGGCCAUCCUUUUCUUCUUCGGAAGGAAUCUUUUACUGUGAGUAAACUGGAGUGCUCAAAACAAGACGUUUGUUUGGUACAUUAAAGCAUGGAAUAAUAAGAUAGGACCUGGUUACUAUUUUGUUGGUUUGCAUAGCUAGGUAAUGAUUAACAGGGACAGUUGGGGGUAUUCGUAUUUAAUUGUCAGAGGUGAAAUUCUUGGAUUUAUGAAAGACGAACGACUGCGAAAGCAUUUACCAAGGAUGUUUUCAUUAA